ACGCUCGACACCUACGGGAGGCUGCAGUCGGGAAUAUUGCGCAAUGGAGGAAACUCUGACGCAGUGACGCCGCGUAUAGGAAGAAGGUUUUCGGAUUGUAAACUAUUGUCGUUAGGGAAGAAAAAAGACAGUACCUAAGGAGGAAGCUCCGGCUAACUACGUGCCAGUAGCCGCGGUAAUCUGAGCGGGCUGGCAAGGC
RNAcentral lists this ribosomal RNA (199 nucleotides) under uncultured bacterium. RNAcentral describes it as "partial 16S ribosomal RNA". It matches the Rfam family "Bacterial small subunit ribosomal RNA", at positions 328 to 539 of the family's 1533-position model. The record is from RNAcentral.